RNAcentral lists this ribosomal RNA (432 nucleotides) under uncultured bacterium. RNAcentral's name for it is "partial 16S ribosomal RNA". It matches the Rfam family "Bacterial small subunit ribosomal RNA", at positions 29 to 506 of the family's 1533-position model. The record is from RNAcentral.
AACGAACGCUGGCGGCAUGCCUAACACAUGCAAGUCGAACGAGACCUUCGGGUCUAGUGGCGCACGGGUGCGUAACGCGUGGGAACCUGCCCUUAGGUUCGGAAUAACUCCCCGAAAGGGGUGCUAAGACCGGAUAAUGUCUUCGGACCAAAGAUUUAUCGCCUUUGGAUGGGCCCGCGUUGGAUUAGCUAGUUGGUAGGGUAAAAGCCUACCAAGGCGACGAUCCAUAGCUGGUCUGAGAGGAUGAUCAGCCACACUGGGACUGAGACACGGCCCAGACUCCUACGGGAGGCAGCAGUGGGGAAUAUUGGACAAUGGGCGAAAGCCUGAUCCAGCAAUGCCGCGGGAGUGAUGAAGGCCUUAGGGUUGUAAAGCUCUUUUACCCGGGAUGAUAAGGACAGUACCGGGAGAAUAAGCUCCGGCUAACUCCGU